This 565-nucleotide long non-coding RNA is filed under the name Androctonus crassicauda. The record is from RNAcentral. Lineage: Eukaryota; Metazoa; Arthropoda; Arachnida; Scorpiones; Buthidae.
AAAAUCUAUUCUAAAAAAGAUUUUUCAAAAUGGAAAAAUGAUCCUCCAAAAUUUUCAGUCACACAACAAUAUCAGAAAAGUUCAGCAAUUUUACACAAAAAUUGAAGAUUCUAUAGGUUGUCUAGCAUGUGAGAAUAUCAACAUCUAUUUUUCAUUAUAGUACACUUAGAGUAUGACAUAGCUCGAUGUGUUAUACACCAAAUUGUUCGGCUCAUUAAGACAAAUCGACUGGUCUCAUCCAUAUUGAAAUCCUAGCAAUACUGACAGACUUAUUAAGUCUUGAAUGUGCCAUUUAAGCAAAUUUUGCAGUUUUUGGCACUUUGACAAGCCUCGCUGUGAUUUCGCAAAGCCAAAUUUUUUCGACAUCCUAGAUUUAUCCCAGUGGUCAUUUAAAAAAAAAGUUCAAGUUAAUCAGUCCAGUGGUUCCUCAGAAACACUACUGUCAGCAUUCCCUCUAAUGUUAAACAAAGGUAUCAAGUAUAUCAUCAGUAGCACUACCAUUGAUAUAUAUAAUUCAUUUAAACAUUAUGGUAUAUAAUUUUAUAAAAUCAAUAUUUGUGACUCU